GACGAACGCUGGCGGCGUGCCUAAUACAUGCAAGUCGAGCGAAUUGAUGGGAGCUUGCUCCCUGAUAUUAGCGGCGGACGGGUGAGUAACACGUGGGUAACCUGCCUGUAAGAUUGGGAUAACUCCGGGAAACCGGAGCUAAUACCGGAUAACAUUUCGAACCGCAUGGUUUGAAAUUGAAAGAUGGUUUCGGCUAUCACUUACAGAUGGACCCGCGGCGCAUUAGCUAGUUGGUGAGGUAACGGCUCACCAAGGCAACGAUGCGUAGCCGACCUGCGAGGGUGAGCGGCCACACUGGGACUGAGACACGGCCCAGACUCCUACGGGAGGCAGCAGUAGGGAAUCUUCCGCAAUGGACGAAAGUCUGACGGAGCAACGCCGCGUGAACGAUGAAGGCCUUCGGGUCGUAAAGUUCUGUUGUUAGGGAAGAACAAGUACCAGAGUAACUGCUGGUACCUUGACGGUACCUAACCAGAAAGCCACGGCUAACUACGUGCCAGCCGCCGCCGUAA
RNAcentral lists this ribosomal RNA (512 nucleotides) under uncultured bacterium. RNAcentral's name for it is "partial 16S ribosomal RNA". It matches the Rfam family "Bacterial small subunit ribosomal RNA", at positions 28 to 523 of the family's 1533-position model. The record is from RNAcentral.